This 460-nucleotide ribosomal RNA is filed under the name uncultured bacterium. RNAcentral describes it as "partial 16S ribosomal RNA". It matches the Rfam family "Bacterial small subunit ribosomal RNA", at positions 338 to 795 of the family's 1533-position model. The record is from RNAcentral.
CCUACGGGAGGCAGCAGUGAGGAAUAUUGGUCAAUGGACGCAAGUCUGAACCAGCCAUGCCGCGUGCAGGAUGACGGCUCUAUGAGUUGUAAACUGCUUUUGUACGAGGGUAAACCCCGAUACGUGUAUCGGGUUGAAAGUAUCGUACGAAUAAGGAUCGGCUAACUCCGUGCCAGCAGCCGCGGUAAUACGGAGGAUCCGAGCGUUAUCCGGAUUUAUUGGGUUUAAAGGGUGCGUAGGCCGUUUGAUAAGUGAGAGGUGAAAUGUCGGGGCUCAACCACGAAACUGCCUCUAAUACUGUUGGGCUAGAGAAUAGUUACGGUAGGCGGAAUGUAUGGUGUAGCGGUGAAAUGCUUAGAGAUCAUGAAGAACACCGAUUGCGAAGGCAGCUUACCAAACUAUAUCUGACGUUGAGGCACGAAGGCGUGGGUAGCGAACAGGAUUAGAUACCCGAGUAGUC